Molecule: ribosomal RNA, 526 nt
Filed under: uncultured Acidobacteriota bacterium
Lineage: Bacteria; Pseudomonadati; Acidobacteriota
Description: bacterial SSU rRNA
Rfam family: Bacterial small subunit ribosomal RNA
Source: RNAcentral
UCGGGAAUUUUGGGCAAUGGGCGAAAGCCUGACCCAGCAACGCCGCGUGAAGGAUGAAGUUUUUCGGAAUGUAAACUUCGUAAGAAUGGGAAGAAUAAAUGACGGUACCAUUUGUAAGGUCCGGCUAACUACGUGCCAGCAGCCGCGGUAAUACGUAGGGACCAAGCGUUGUUCGGAUUUACUGGGCGUAAAGGGCGCGUAGGCGGCAAUUCAAGUCAGCUGUGAAAUCUCCGGGCUUAACUCGGAACGGUCAGCUGAUACUGCUUUGCUAGAGUGCAGAAGGGGCAAUCGGAAUUCUUGGUGUAGCGGUGAAAUGCGUAGAUAUCAAGAGGAACACCUGAGGUGAAGACGGGUUGCUGGGCUGACACUGACGCUGAGGCGCGAAAGCUAGGGUAGCAAACGGGAUUAGAUACCCCGGUAGUCCUAGCCCUAAACGAUGAAUACUUGGUGUCUGGAGUUUUUAUCCUCCGGGUGCCGUCGCUAACGUUUUAAGUAUUCCGCCUGGGGAGUACGCACGCAGGUGUGA